Long non-coding RNA from Dipodomys ordii (Ord's kangaroo rat), 346 nucleotides. RefSeq lists it as uncharacterized. The transcript has 3 exons. The record is from RefSeq and is a predicted model, not a curated record. NCBI's taxonomy places the organism in Eukaryota, Metazoa, Chordata, Mammalia, Rodentia, Heteromyidae.
AUGGGAAUGAAGUUGCAGAAAAAUGAAAAUAUUUCCAUCCCCUUCUGCCUACAGUUAGAAAUUAGAGAAGAAUCCCAAUAAUGGUUGGCAGACCUUUGAUCAAUACCCUCCAUUGAAUAAAAUACUGGACUCUGUAAUGUUGAACCAAAAGAAGAUCCACCAGAGUUCAAGAUGCUAUCCUCACAAACACACUUCAAGAGGGUAUAGCACGUGCCUAUGGGAGGACAAGGCAGGCCUCAUCACAGGACCAAACCCAACAGCACCAUGACUCGAGAACUUCACAGCCUUCAGAAGUAGGAGAAGAUUCAUUUUUGUUUUACCUGGGGAAAAAAAUAAAGGAGGGGGU